RNAcentral lists this ribosomal RNA (266 nucleotides) under uncultured archaeon. RNAcentral's name for it is "partial 16S ribosomal RNA". It matches the Rfam family "Archaeal small subunit ribosomal RNA", at positions 718 to 982 of the family's 1478-position model. The record is from RNAcentral.
AGUCACUGACAUUAGAUACCCCGCGUAGUCCAGGGUGUAAACGCUGCAGACUUGGUGUUGGGAACCCUUCGGGGGUGCUCAGUGCCGGAGAGAAGUUGUUAAGUCUGCUACUUGGGGAGUACGUCCGCAAGGAUGAAACUUAAAGGAAUUGGCGGGGGAGCACCGCAACGGGAGGAGCGUGCGGUUUAAUUGGAUUCAACGCCGAAAAACUCACCAGCAGCGACUGUUACAUGAAAGUCAGGUUGAUGACCUUACUAGAUUUUCAG